GACAGAGGUGGCAAGCGUUGUUCGGAAUUACUGGGCUUAAAGGGCGCGUAGGCGGUGAUGUAAGUCUGGGGUGGAAUUCUACGGCUUAACUGUAGGACUGCCUUGGAAACUGCAUUGCUUGAGUCAGACAGGGGAAGGCGGAAUUUCUGGUGUAGCGGUGAAAUGCGUAGAUAUCAGGAGGAAGGCCUGUGGCGAAGGCGGCCUUCUGGGUUUUGACUGACGCUGAGGCGCGAAAGCGUGGGGAG
Molecule: ribosomal RNA, 245 nt
Filed under: uncultured bacterium
Lineage: Bacteria
Description: partial 16S ribosomal RNA
Rfam family: Bacterial small subunit ribosomal RNA
Source: RNAcentral